UGAGAAUACAUCACAUUCCUCCCUUCUGGUC
Molecule: non-coding RNA, 31 nt
Filed under: Rattus norvegicus (Norway rat)
Lineage: Eukaryota; Metazoa; Chordata; Mammalia; Rodentia; Muridae
Source: RNAcentral